GUGGGGAAUAUUGGGCGAUGGGCGAAAGCCUGACCCAGCAACGCCGCGUGAAGGAAGAAGGUCUUCGGAUCGUAAACUUCUAUCCUUGGUGAAGAUAAUGACGGUAGCCGAGAAGGAAGCCCCGGCUAACUACGUGCCAGCAGCCGCGGUAAUACGUAGGGGGCAAGCGUUGUCCGGAAUGAUUGGGCGUAAAGGGCGCGUAGGCGGCCUGGUAAGUCUGGAGUGAAAGUCCUGCUUUUAAGGUGGGAAUUGCUUUGGAUACUGUCGGGCUUGAGUGCAGGAGAGGUAAGCGGAAUUCCCGGUGUAGCGGUGAAAUGCGUAGAGAUCGGGAGGAACACCGAUGGCGAAGGCAGCCUCCUGGGAUAACACUGACGCUCAGGCACGAAAGCGUGGGGAGCAAACAGGAUUAGAUACCCCAGUAGUCC
Molecule: ribosomal RNA, 425 nt
Filed under: uncultured bacterium
Lineage: Bacteria
Description: partial 16S ribosomal RNA
Rfam family: Bacterial small subunit ribosomal RNA
Source: RNAcentral